AUGAGAUCGAACCCCAAAUUGCCGACUCCAAAUUCCGGGAAAUCCCUCUCAAAUUCCGGGAAAUACUCCCCCAAAAAAUUCAGAUCGAACCCCAAAUUCCCGACCCCAAACUCCGGGAAAUCCCCCCCCAAAAAUGAGAUCGAACCCCAAAAUUCCCGACCCCAAAUUCCGGGAAAUCCCCCUCAAAUUCCGGGAAAUCUCCCCCAAAAAGGAGAUCGAACCCCAAAUUUCCGACCCCAAAAUCCGGUUUCCCUCCCCACCCCGGGACCCCCAAAAUCUCCCCCCAAAACCCAUCUGGGUACCCCAAAAUCCCUCUCAGAACCCCCAAAUUCCUUCCAGCACUCCCCAGGACCCCCCAAUAUUCCUCCAAGACCCCCCAAAAUCCCCCCAGGAUCCCAAAAAUCUCUCCAGGGUCCCCUCAAAUCCCUUUUUUACCCCCCUAAAUCCCUUUUUUUUUUCUUUUCCCCAGCUCUGUUCCUGUUUUGGGGGGGGGUCGCGGUUUUUGGGGACCCCCCCCGGGCCCUGCGCUGCCCCCUGCUGGACGAGAGGGGCACCCCCACCCCCCGGGGGGCCCUGCUGAGGAUUCUGGGGGGUCCCGAGACCCCCCCGAGCCCCGAGACCCCCCGGGACCCCCUGGAGAAAAAUUUCGAUGUCAGAGACCCCUGGGGGGUCCUGGAAGGAUUUUGGGGCCCCUCGGGGGAGCCCCCCCGGUGCGAGCUGAGCCCCACGGCGCCGCUGCCGCCACCCCCGGGCUCGGGGACGGCCCCAAAGUGUCCCCAGGGGACGCGCUGGUGGCUGCUGGCCCUGGGGACAUCGGGCAGGGAGGGGACGGCGCUGCUGCAGGAGGGGGAGGGGGACACGGACAGAGUGACAGGUGAGGGGGACACGGGUGGCACCUGUGUCACCUGUGUCACCUGUGUGUCAUUAAUGUCACUUGAGUGUCAUUGUCACCUGAGUGUCAUUGCUGUCACCUGUGUGUCACCUGUGUGUCAUUGUCAUCUGAGUGUCAUGGUUACGUAUGUGUCACCUGAGUGUCACCUGAGUGUCAUUGUCACCUGUGUGUCAUUGUCUGCUGUGUCACCUGUGUGUCAUUAAUGUCACCUCAGUGUCACCUGAGUGUCACCUGUGUGUCAUUGCUGUCACGUGUGUGUCAUUGUCACCUGUGUCACCUCACAUCCCCGGAUCUCCCCCAAUGCCCCCAAUGCCCCCAAUGUCCCCAGUGUCCCCAACGUCCCCAAAUGUCCCCAAUCCCCCCCAGUGUUCCAAAUCCCCCAAAUGUUCCCAUUCCCCCAAUGUCCCCAAAUGUCCCCAAUAUCCCCAAUCCCCCAAAUGUCCCCAGUGUCCCCCAAUGUCCCCAAUGUCCCCAACGUCCCCAAAUGUCCCCAAUCCCUCAAAUGUCCCCAAUGUCCCCCAAUGUCCCAAAUCCCCCCCAAUCCCCCUAAUUUCCCCAAUUUCCCCAAUCCCCACAAUGUCCCCAAAUGUCCCCCAUUCCCCCAAUGUCCCCAAAUGUCCCCAAAUCUCCCCGAUGUCCCCAAUCCCCCCCAAUGUCCCCAGUGUCCCCCACACCCCCCUAACCGCCCUCCCCUCCCCCCACAGCCUCCCUGUUCAUCUCCACGCUGUCCCCCACCGUGCGGGGGCUCGUGGGGUCCCCCCAGAGCCUGCACUGCGCCCUGACCCCCGACCCCGGCCCCUUCACCCUCGAGUGGCUGCACCACCGCGACGGCGCCACCCGCCGCCUGCUGGCCUUCGACUCGGCCACCGCCCGCGUCACCGGCGCCGCCCCGGGGGUGCUGCUGCUGCUGGGGGGCCGGGACCCCUCCUCAAAUUCGGGGGGAGAUGUCGGGACACAG
This 1850-nucleotide long non-coding RNA is filed under the name Catharus ustulatus (Swainson's thrush). RNAcentral describes it as "lncRNA (ENSCUSG00005015535.1)". Lineage: Eukaryota; Metazoa; Chordata; Aves; Passeriformes; Turdidae. The record is from RNAcentral.